RNAcentral lists this non-coding RNA (189 nucleotides) under unclassified sequences. RNAcentral's name for it is "manA RNA". It matches the Rfam family "manA RNA". Rfam says of the family: manA RNA has been located in 5'UTR regions of genes of mannose or fructose metabolism. Has been proposed as a cis-regulatory element and as a riboswitch candidate for his complex secondary structure. The record is from RNAcentral.
UGCUCGACGGAGCGACAAAGGGUAUGACGGAAUAAACUGCUGUCGCGGCAGUUAACGUGCAAUGCUCAUUGGCAGGACUUACCAAGUCUGGGGGCCGAUGAGGGUUGGCUCAAAGUAGGGUUUUGACUUGAAAACUCAAGCUGUGACCCCAAAACGAUGGAGGUAAAUGAGAAUCCUCCUACCCAUUAA